Molecule: ribosomal RNA, 257 nt
Filed under: uncultured Glomus
Lineage: Eukaryota; Fungi; Glomeromycota; Glomeromycetes; Glomerales; Glomeraceae
Description: partial 18S ribosomal RNA
Rfam family: Eukaryotic small subunit ribosomal RNA
Source: RNAcentral
AAGCUCGUAGUUGAAUUUCGGGAUUAGUACGUCGGUCGUGCCUUAGGUACGUACUGGUGUUACUGGUUCCUACCUUCUGACGAACCAUCAUGUCAUUAAUUUGGUGUGGUGGGGAAUCAGGACUGUUACUUUGAAAAAAUUAGAGUGUUUAAAGCAGGCUCGCGCUUGAAUGCAUUAGCAUGGAAUAAUGAAAUAGGACGUUGAUCCUAUUUUGUUGGUUUCUAGGAUUGACGUAAUGAUUAAUAGGGAUAGUUGGG